This 1374-nucleotide long non-coding RNA is filed under the name Struthio camelus australis. RNAcentral's name for it is "lncRNA (ENSSCUG00000008970.1)". The record is from RNAcentral. Lineage: Eukaryota; Metazoa; Chordata; Aves; Struthioniformes; Struthionidae.
CUUCUGUAUGUAAAAAUGUAUUAUUCCAUGAGUCGAAGGUGGUUGGGUUGAUCUGUCUGUCAAAUCCACAGGUGCAGCGCACGCUACUGAGAAAUCAGCAGUUCAGCCUGAAAGGCUGCCGAAGGAAGGAGCAGAGACACUUCGGAAGGCAUUGCCAUUUGAGGGAGUUCCUAUAGAUGUCGCGGAUGAGUGGAGUGCACCGUCACAACAGAGCGUGAUUAUUCCUAGUCCUGUCCCAGGGACUCUAACCGCAUUGACAAUAUAUUAAGCGGAAUAUUGCUAUCUACCUGGCACGUUUGUGCUGAAGAUCUUAGAGCACUCUGAUUUGUAGCACCACUGAAAAUGGUACCACAAAAGGUUGCAUUGGUUAACAAAGGAAGUCAAAAGGAAAGGAGAAAGCUUCUGAUGAUUUGCAAGCUCAGGUAACGUAGUAUUCCCAAAUAAUAAGUUAAGGAGUUUGACAAAGACACUUUUAAGAAGGGAGCUGUCUUCUGAUGCUCUGUGGCAAUGGAGAAGCUGUGCUGAUGGAUGGAGGAUGGUGGUUUGGGGCUGAGCACAAGGGUUUUUUAGCUCUGCCUGGAUCAAUAGAGCCGACCAGAAUUUGAUACCCUGAAGACAGCAUAAAACCAGCAUAGCCAUUUCUUGAGUGUUUGACGUCUGUCUUAUGCUUCUCUAGGUUCAGCCGAGAAUCAGCCUCUGGCUGAAAGUUGCUUCAUGUGAGGGGAUGAUUCAAGGAGGGAAAGGGCUAUCUGGAUUUUCUAGCUGAACUCAUGCUGAAAGACUCUGGCAAUCUUUGGGACACUGUAUUUUCUGUUGAGAAAAAUAGAUGUAUUUUUCCAGAAAACUGCAGGGAUUAGCAGCUCAAAAGUCACCAAAAUGUCACGUGUAUUAAACUUUCCUGAAAUCUGCCACAGACUAGUAGAAAGUGAAGGAAUCUGUUGGUCACAGAUAUUGCGAUAAUGCCUGUGUAAAGCAUUUGUGGUGAGCAUAGUAUCACACCGUAAACAGAGAGGGAGCCAGUAGUAAGGAUUUUGUAUUUUACAAACAGGAAUUUGUUUCUUUUCUAUAAUUUUAAAUAGAAUUUAGUAACACCUUUGCAAGCACAGUAUCUUUUACAUGUCUUUCCAUUUUAGAUUGAAAUACCCUAGGAAGGAGCACUUAUCAAGUAGGCCUUCAGUACAGGAACGUAAGUAAAAUAUUCAGAUCAAGGUAAAGCCUAAUUAAUCAUCACCAUACCAGCUAAUCUGACACAGAGCAACAGCUAAGUAAAGCCAUGGUAACAUGCCGCCUUCUGCCUUCAAAUUACAUGCCACAAUGUUCUAAAAAAAGUAGAUGUAUGCACAUAUAAAAUAAACAUAACUGUUUUUAGUGCCA